UCCUCCAGUCUCCCGAAAUUGGCGCAGAAACAGCAGCAGAGAAGAAACACAAAGCGACGUUCUCUUUCUGCGUUCCACUAAUUGAAUUCCUUCGCUUCACUUUCUUCCUUUCUUUCUUCGCACUAGUAUUAAAAAAAACGCAGAGCGCAGACUAAUAGCAUCGUUCUUUGAAUCGGGUUGCCGAGGACCCGACCCGGAUCCAUGGGGUGCGUGAGCUCGAAGCAAGCGGUGUCAGUGACGCCGGCGAUUGACCACUACGGCGCCUUCCGGAGCAAUGCGGGUGGUCCGUGCGAGCCGGAGAAGAAGAGGACCGAGUCUGGAGGAGGACCGAGUCAGAGCGAGGUAGGUGAGUCUGGCAGAACGAGUUCGAAUUGCGAGUCGCUGAGCUUCAGGCUGGGGAACCUCCAGAAGUACGUGCAGGGCGAACACGUUGCAGCCGGCUGGCCCGCCUGGCUCAGCGCCGUCGCCGGCGAAGCCAUUCAAGGCUGGGUCCCCCUCCGCGCCGACGCCUUCGAAAAACUCGAGAAGAUAGGGCAGGGGACGUACAGUAGUGUGUUUAGGGCGAGGGAGCUUGAGACGAGGAAGAUAGUGGCAUUGAAGAAGGUGCGGUUCGACAAUUUCGAACCGGAGAGUGUGCGGUUCAUGGCGCGUGAGAUACUGAUCCUGCGACGGCUUGAUCACCCCAAUAUCAUAAAGCUUGAGGGUUUGAUUACUUCGAGGUUGUCGUGUAGCAUAUACCUCGUGUUUGAGUACAUGGAGCAUGACAUUACAGGGCUCUUGUCUUCACCUGAUAUCAAGUUCACUGAACCGCAGAUUAAGUGCUACAUGAAACAGUUGUUGGCUGGUCUUGAGCACUGUCACUUGCGAGGAGUGAUGCAUAGGGACAUUAAGGGGUCGAAUCUUUUGGUGAAUAAUGAAGGGGUUUUGAAGGUGGCAGAUUUUGGGUUGGCAAAUUAUGUCAAUUCUGGGCACAGGCAACCUCUGACGAGUCGUGUUGUCACCUUGUGGUACCGGCCGCCAGAGCUUUUGCUCGGUUCGACAGAUUAUGAUCCGUCUGUGGAUCUUUGGAGUGUUGGCUGUGUGUUUGCGGAGCUGCUUGUUGGGAAGCCUAUACUUCAGGGGAGAACAGAGGUUGAACAACUGCACAAAAUUUUCAAGCUCUGUGGCUCCCCACCUGACGAAUACUGGAAAAAGUCUAAACUUCCUCAUGCAACUUUAUUUAAGCCAGAGCAACCAUAUGAUAGUUGCCUUCGACAGUCCUUUAAAGAUUUGCCAGCGACCAGUGUACAUCUGCUACAAACUCUUCUUUCUGUUGAACCAUACAAACGUGGAACUGCAACAUCUGCUCUAUCAUCAGAGUAUUUCAAAACAAAACCUUAUGCAUGUGACCCAUCAAGCUUGCCAGUAUACCCACCUAGCAAGGAAAUCGAUGCAAAACACAGGGAUGAAUCAAGGAAAAAGAUUAGUGGACGAGUUCGAGGAACUGCAACAAGAAAACAGUCAAGAAAGCCUCUGGGAUUCAAUAAACUAGCCCCAGCAGAGGGUUUGGCAAGUCAAACUCAGACUUCCCAGAAGGUCAAUGGUAGAUAUUUCCACAUCCUUGAAGAAGAGAAGAUUAAAAUAGGUGACAAAGCACAAAAGUCAUCCAGUGGUAAACCUGAAGAUGCUUUCCAUAUGAAGAAUGCAUCGCAAGGAGAUAUUCCCCUUUCUGGACCAUUACAAGUUUCAACAUCAAGUGGCUUUGCAUGGGCAAAAAGCCGUAAAGAUGACACUUCAUUUCGAUCCCAUUGUCGAACUAUUUCAAGAGGACAUAUUUUCAAUGCAUUAGAACCUUCUACAUUAAAUACAAGAAAUAAUUUGGACACCACAAACCAGGAAAAUAAGGAGUUUUGUGGGAGAUACCCCAAUUCUAGGGGCCAUGACCUACUUGAAAUUUCUAAGCUUUCAAUGCAGAACCAGUGGAGUAAGUUUGAUCGCCCAGACUCAUUUGAUGCUUCAGAUGAGUACCACUCACAAGAAUUGUCUACGGCCCUUUAUCACAGAGAAGAUUCAGUAUCCAAGAGAAGUAACCUGACUUUUCAAGAUCAAGGAGAAAAGGUUGAAUUUUCUGGACCCCUACUAUCUCAAAUGCACACAGUUGAUGAGCUCUUGGAAAGGCACGAGCGCCACAUCCGGCGAACUGUCCGGAGAUCAUGGUUUCAGAGAGGUAAGAAGCUAGGGAAGUAAAUCAAAAUGAUACUAGAAGUCCUUCUGGGAAGGCCAUCUUCUUUCCCCAAGCACAUCGCUACAAGCAGAGAAUGAACAUCAGACUUAUACAAUGACACACUGUCUAGCAGCAUGAUCUGUCAUAUAGAAGCUAGGAAACUCAACGAUUUGAGGAGAACACUUCCAGCUUUCAAUUUACAGAAAUUUGAUGACCAAUGCAGAGAAAAGAAUAAAGGUUCAUACAAAGAGGAGAAACGCUUGCAUCAAAAGAAGAUAAAUGACUUAGUUUAUGUGAUGUACAACUUGAAACUGAAAAAUAGACAAAUUAGAAAAAUUGUUGCUCGAUCUUUCAUUUGAAGAUAUGAAAUCUGAUGCUGUGUGGAUAACAGAAGAGGAAGAUGAUAUUUUUUAUGAAGACAAUGUCCAAGUUAAGCAACCUCUUGGUGAAAGAGGUAGUUGAAACAAUAUUGACUUGGUUAAAGGAAGUUUAACUGAUCCAACUUUGGAUACAUUUGAUAUUGACAGUUUAGUUUUGAAUGACAAUGUUGACGAUCACUUCUCAACUGAAGAAUAACUUGAAGAUGAUGGCGGUGAUGGUGAUAUUGGAGAUGAUUUAAUUAGAGGAUUGAUGGACACAUGAACUAUUUCUAUGUUUUUUAAAUGUUUUUAUUUUAAGAACUUAUAUGUUUUGUAUUGUAUGAAUUUAUAUUUGAUUGGGUGUGAACUAUGUUAGUUUAUUGAAUUCUUGUUAAAGUUUGUUAUUUUGAUUUA
Glycine soja is the source of this 2976-nucleotide RNA transcript. It is a transcript of the gene named protein IMPAIRED IN BABA-INDUCED STERILITY 1-like, with no coding region annotated. NCBI's taxonomy places the organism in Eukaryota, Viridiplantae, Streptophyta, Magnoliopsida, Fabales, Fabaceae. The record is from RefSeq and is a predicted model, not a curated record. The transcript has 10 exons.